Anneissia japonica is the source of this 1885-nucleotide long non-coding RNA. RefSeq lists it as uncharacterized. NCBI's taxonomy places the organism in Eukaryota, Metazoa, Echinodermata, Crinoidea, Comatulida, Comatulidae. The record is from RefSeq and is a predicted model, not a curated record. The transcript is spliced from 3 exons.
AUGUAAUCUUUAUUUAUAAUUAUACGGAUUGUCGUGGGUUGUUUAAUUCCAAGAAAGGCAACAAUUAUAACAUUUGAAAACGUUCAUAAAUCGCUUUGAAAUUUAUAAUUUUGUUCAAUAAUAAACGUGGAAUAUUUCAAGACACCAGGUUUGAAUAAUAUGAAAAAGAUUGUGUGAUCGUCAAGCCAUGAGUACACCACCACUAUGCACCUUGCAUGCAACAGGAAACACAGGCACAUGUUUAUUGUGGAUUUUCGAAGACAAGCAUUCAGUAAGAGUUUGUUAUUGCAUGAAGCAGAUAAACAAUUGGAUGUCCAGUCAGAUUUGUUGGAAGAUUGGAUAACUAAAGUUGAUAAACUGGGGCAAACCUAAGCUGUAUAGAAGGUUGAGCAAAGAAAUACAUUGUGGGAAAUCAUUACUGAUUAGUUUGAACCCUGGUAACUGAAGCUAUAGCAACAUCACACUGAGAGAAAGCGUGGAAGUCAAAUUUUAACUAUAGAAAUGAAGAAAUGAACUUUGAGAAACAGACUAAUUUAUUUGAAUUAUGUAGUGUACAGUAAUACUGGUACUUGAAGCUUAGUGAACUCUGAUGAAUAGAGAUGAAGCAGAUAAAUUGUGGAAAGUCUAAAACCACAACAGACAUUUGUUGUGCAUUCAUAGAAUGAAUGAUUAUGAAUUGAAGUACUAUUUGCCAAGUGAAGUUUGUGAUGUAUUAAGUAAAGAAGUGUUGACCUUUUUAAAGUACUGAAGUUUUUGUCUGAUUCUGGACCUAGUUAAAAAGAAUGUUGGUCCAAUUCUGAACUUAAUUUAAAAGGUUGCUUCUUCUGGACUUAAAAUGACUUAUAGAUAAAAUUCUGAAUUUUAGUUAAAAUGUUGGUCCAAUUCUGGUCUGUAGAGUAGUGUAAAUUAUUGGUCCUAUUCUGGACUUAGUUAAGAUGUUGGUCCAAUUCUGAACUUUCAGUUAAAAUUCUGGAAUUAGUGUAAAUAACUGGUCCUAUCUUGGACUUAGUGUAAAAUAUUGGUCCAAUUUUGGACUUAGUGUACGUGUAAAUGGUUGAGUUCUAUUCUGGAAUAAUAUAAAAUUCAGGACUUAAUGUAAAUGGUUGAGUCCUAUUCUGGAAUAAUUUAAAAUUCAGGACUUAGUGUAAAUGGUUGAGUCCUAUUCUGGACUUUAAUAGUGUACAUAUACAGUAAAUGGUUGAGUCCUAUUCUGGACUUAGUUAAAUUAAUGUAAAUUGUUGAGUCCUAUUCUGGACUAAUUUAAAAUUCAGGACUUAAUGUAAAUGGUAGAGUCCUAUUCUGGACUUAUUAAAUAUUCUGGACUUAGUGUAAAUGGUUGAGUCCUAUUCUGGACUUAGUUAAAUUAAUGUAAAUUGUUGAGUCCUAUUCUGGACUAAUUUAUAAUUCAGGACUUAAUGUAACGGUAGAGUCCUAUUCUGGACUUAGUUAAAAUUCUGGACUUUAGUGUAAAUGGUUGAGUCCUAUUCUGGACUUAGUUAAAUUAAUGUAAAUUGUUGAGUCCUAUUCUGGACUAAUUUAUAAUUCAGGACUAAAUGUAAAUGGUAGAGUCCUAUUCUGGACUUAGUUAAAAUUCUGGACUUAGUAAAUAUUCAGGACUUUUAAUGUAACGGUAGAGUCCUAUUCUGGACUUAGUAAAUAUUCAGGACACAUUCUGGACUUAGUAAAUAUUCAGGACUUAUGUAAAUGGUAGAGUCCUAUACUGGACAUAGUUAAUAUUCUGGACUUCGUGUAAAUGGUAGAGUCCUAUUCUGGACUUAGUUAAAAUUCUGGACUUAGUAAAAUAUUCAGGACUUAAUGUAACGGUAGAGUCCUAUUCUGGACUUAGUUAAAAUUCUGGACUUGAAUAAAACUAAUUGCAACAACA